Eurytemora carolleeae is the source of this 267-nucleotide long non-coding RNA. RefSeq lists it as uncharacterized. NCBI's taxonomy places the organism in Eukaryota, Metazoa, Arthropoda, Copepoda, Calanoida, Temoridae. The transcript has 4 exons. The record is from RefSeq and is a predicted model, not a curated record.
UCUGAAUUCUAAUGUUGUACUUGAUUAUACUGCAGCAAUCUUGUCAUAGGUGGAUUCUCUGGAGAAAACAAUUAAUGCAAUAAAUGAUGAUUUAACAAAUAAAAGAGGUCUACUGUGGAAGGGAGAGGAGGAUAUUAAAACAAUGCAACUUAAUUACGAGGAACAGCUUAGUGUUAUGAGUGACCACUUGGCAGAAAUGAAUAAUAAGCUUGCUUCACAAGAAGAUACUAUUAUUCAUCUUAGGCAAGAAUGUGAUCUAUCUGAAAA